CCUGUAUCACUAGCAAGGAAACUGAUUGGGAAAAUGACAACAGUUUAAUGAAGAAUCUUUACUUUGUUGAUGAAGAAUCUUUCAACCUUUGGAGAAAAAAAUCACUGACUAACCUGGUGUAAUUCUAUAAAUCACUUGUGAAGAAUAUGAUUAAUUGGGAGAGCACAUCAAUUCUUUUAAGGGGAAUAUUUAAUUCAGAGCGAUACAGCAUGGUAUGUCUUUGGACUGCGGGAGGAAACUGGAGCACCCAGGGAAGACCCAUGCAUUCCACAGGGAGGACGUACAAACUCUUCACAGAACGCCGUCGGAACUGAACUCCAAACUCCGGAACGCCUCGCGUUGCAAUAGCGUUGCGCUAACCGCUAUUGUCACAUGUACCAAGACAAAGUGAAAAGCUUGUAUGGACAUACUGCAUACUUCAUUACAGAUCAAAUCAUUGCACAUUGAAGUAGAACGAGGUAAAACAAUAACAGAAUGCGGAAUAAAGUGUAAAAGCUCCAGAGAAAGUGCAUUGCAAGUAAACAAUAAAGUGCAAGAACAUAAUAAGGUCGGUUAUAAGAUCAAGGGUCCACCUUAUCAUGCAAGAGAUCUGUUCAAGAGUCUGAUUUCAGCCGUAUAGAAGCUGUCCUUGACCCUGAUAAUACAUGCUUUUUGUUUUCUUCUCCAUCAAAUUGCAGGGUGAAGGAAGAUCACAUAAUUCUACCCUUCCAUUAUUGUCACUUUAGCACUUCUUUUUGAACUACUACAGUAUACUUUGCAUCUUUCUGUUGUUUUGCGCUGGUUGCUGUAUUUAUUGGUGUAUUCAUCAUUACCAUGCAUACUGUUCACUCAGUGAGCUUCAUGGGAGCAAGAAAUUUUAUUUCACCCUAGUCCAAGUAACAAUAAAUUAAUCUGAAUCUGUAUCUAAUGUGAAGUCUGUACAAAAUAUCAAACCAACCGAUUAAAGCUCUAGUGGGGAGAUUCCAAUUAAUGUUCUAUCAUCCGCAUUGUGGUUAGAAUCUUGGGUGUUGUUCAUUCAAUCAAUGCAAUGCCUUCCAAAAGGCAUCACCCCACCUGUCCUCCCCCACCAAGCAACGCCGCUCCAUGCUUUCUGUAACACCUCCCACAUUAUACCCAGUGACACAACCUGGCAACACAGGUUCUCUUUUCCCCAUCCAGUGCCCUCCCCAACUUCUCUACUACCCAGACUAACCUGUUUCUCUCUUUCCCAGUUCUGAAAAUGAAGCUUUUGGUGGUGGGUCAACAACUGAUAUGGUCAGUGGCCCAAUCUGUACUCUCAUUAAGGUGCACUAUUAUUUCUGAGCAAUAUUUGAAAGUAUUUUCACAGACAAACUCCAUUAUACUUGUUACCUAGGGCAUUGUGUUCAGGGUCAAUUACAUGCUGAACAAUUUUUGUGGUUGGUUGCUUCAUAUACUGCGUGGUUGUCUUGAAGAGAUAAUUUUGCAUAAUUUUGUCUUUACUCAGCAUAACUAUUAAAACUGUGGUAAACUUUGUUUUUAAGGUAUGGUUUUCUUUAGCACUUUUACCUUGAAGACUUAACCCUUCAUUGGGUAUAAUUUGGCUGAAAGAAGAUCUAGUUUGGAGCUUAACAUCCAAGGAUACACAUUGUGUCAAAAUGCCAGGCAGGUAGGCAAGGGCACAGCCUCAAAAUUGAGGGGUGACCUUUUAGAACGAGGUAAGAAGCAAUUUUAUUUUAACCAAAGAGCAGUGAAUCUGUGGAAUGCUCUGCCACAGACUGCAGUGAAGGCCAAGUCCAUGGGUGGAAUUUGAUCAUCUCUUGAUCAGUCAGGGCAUCAGCGGAAAUGGCGCAGAGGCAGGUGUAUAGGGUGAGCGUGAUCUGGGAUCAGCCGUGAUGGAAUGGUAGAGCAGGCUUGAUGGGCUGAAUGGCCUAAUUCUGCUCCUAUGUCUUAUGGUCUGAUGGUUCCUGACCUGUAACGUUAUUUGCUUUUCUCUCCGUGGAUGCUGCCUGACCUGCAGAGAGUUUCAGCAUUUUCUGACACAACAUAGAAAAUGUUCUGAUCUGUGCCCGGAGGUGUCAUGCUUUCUAAAUGCCAGGAGCACGUUAGACAUUUAGAAGGAGGAAAGACUAAACUGUUGAAAAAUAAAUAGUUCUGUUAGAUUCAAUGGUAUCAGUUCACCCCAACCUGACACUUGGGCGUGCUUCCACACAGCCUUUCCCCACUCUACUCCUUGCUCUGUAGGUCCACACCACACACGCAUGUGCGGUGGAAGUUCUGUAGUUUGUCAACCUCUUACCUGCUGCACCUUUCUGAAAAUAUGACCUUACCAAGAUACAGUUAUUUGACUAACCAGCCACUGCCUACAAAGUACAUAUUGCCUCUGGUACAAUCUUAUUUUUUAAACUAUGCAAACGAUAAGGAUAACAGACUAAGGCUGCUCUGACCACACAGUUGCAAAUCACUUGGCCCGACUUGUCAGUGACAAUCACAAGAGUUGAUGCUAUCUAUGGGACAUGCAAAUAGGUUUAAAAAAUGUGAUAGAGUGGUUUGGAUUCAGUGUGGAAUUUCACCUAUUGGUAUUGGUUCCAUUAUUGUCACAUGUACAGAGAUACAUGGGCAGUAGCGUAGUGGUCAGCAUAACGCUUUACAGUGCCAACGACCCAGGUUCACCACUAUCUGUAAGGAAUUUGUAUGUUCUCCCCGUGACCGUAUGGGUUCCCUCCGGUUGGUUAGUUAAUUGUCACUGUAAAUUGUCCCGCGAUUAGGCUGGGGUUAAGUCGGGGAUUGCUGGGUGGCUCAGCUCGAAGGGCUGGAAGGGCCUUUUCCACGCUGUCUCUCAAUAAGUAAAUAAAAAAUAAAAAUACAGUGAAAAGUCUUUGUUGUGGAUGCCAUCCAGGAAGAUUGUGCUAUUCAAUAUUGAGGUAGUCAGAAGUAAAACAAAAUGCAGAAUAUAGUGCUGGAGCUACAGAGAAUGUGCAGUGCAGGUAAUCAAAUGAAGUGCAAAGGCCAAACUGAGGUCAACUGGGAGAUCAAAAUAUACUGUACCUUUCGCAUAAAGAGUUCCAUUCAAGAGUCAAAUAACAGUGGGAACUGUAAUUGGUGGAAACAUAGGCAUAAUUCACUACCACCGACAUUGAGUUGGGGUUCACUUUAAGAAGCUGGUCUGAUGUAAUGAUGUGAAAUUUUUACUGUGCUUUAUGUUCUGUAUUUGGUGGACAAUAAAGGAGUUGUUACGGUUUCCUUAAACAUAAAA
Molecule: long non-coding RNA, 3214 nt
Organism: Mobula hypostoma (lesser devil ray)
Lineage: Eukaryota; Metazoa; Chordata; Chondrichthyes; Myliobatiformes; Myliobatidae
Exons: 2
Source: RefSeq, a predicted model, not a curated record